RNAcentral lists this transfer RNA (73 nucleotides) under Candidatus Riesia sp. Its description in RNAcentral is "tRNA-Gly". It matches the Rfam family "tRNA". From Rfam's summary of the family: Transfer RNA (tRNA) molecules are approximately 80 nucleotides in length. Their secondary structure includes four short double-helical elements and three loops (D, anti-codon, and T loops). Lineage: Bacteria; Pseudomonadati; Pseudomonadota; Gammaproteobacteria; Enterobacterales; Enterobacteriaceae. The record is from RNAcentral.
GCUAGUAUAUUUCAGUCAGGUAGAAUGUCACAUUGCCAAUGUGAAGACGGGGGUUCAAAUCCCUCUACUAGCA